UAUUUACUUCAGUGUGUUUUGUAUUGUGGUUAGAUUUGUGUAUUGCUAUUUUCGACGGUUUUUGGCUAAAUGGAGCAGUUUAAUAUUAUACAUGUAAAAUGCAUAAUAAAUACUAUUUUAUUAAAGAAAUGUGUUUUUAGACAAAAGCAAAGCAGGUGCGGUCCAACCCAACAAGAAAAUCGCUGCUAGAAGAAGACAAAUCAUUGGUUGAAUUCGUAACCCAAAACAGGGAUUUUGAGAAGAUAACGUCUUAAAUAGAAAUGGUGGACUGGAAGGUGACACGCUCGAAGCUUCGGUAUAUGCGUACAACAUAUACAGAAAUGUUGGAUGGCUUACCAGGUGAAGGGAGUAUGGAAACCGAAACCAUAAAAUCUAAGAUUAUGAUUUGUCAUUUAAACUAGAAUUUCAUUGUUUCUGCAUGCGUAUAGAAGUAAAGAAAAUAAAAAGUAUUGAGGAGAUUGUAAA
Molecule: non-coding RNA, 465 nt
Organism: Bactrocera oleae (olive fruit fly)
Lineage: Eukaryota; Metazoa; Arthropoda; Insecta; Diptera; Tephritidae
Source: RefSeq, a predicted model, not a curated record